Molecule: long non-coding RNA, 574 nt
Organism: Uranotaenia lowii
Lineage: Eukaryota; Metazoa; Arthropoda; Insecta; Diptera; Culicidae
Exons: 3
Source: RefSeq, a predicted model, not a curated record
CAGAAUAUAAACAAAAAAUCGACAAUUCAACUGCCAGGAAAAAAUAUUGCAGAAAGUUGCUCGAACAAAAUUCACAAUGGAAAUAAAACAUCUCACUGUACAGCCGAUUGAGUGUGAUGAACCCGGUUAUUCUGUACACAUCCAUAAACUGAAGCGCUAAAAAAGUAGUUCGAGGAAUUUAAGGAAUCAUAAAUGUUUCAACAAAAGCGUUGGAAUAUCAGAAACAAAAGUAUCAUCUUGCAAAACGCUGUAAAAAUGUGGAAAUUUGUGUUUUAUAGAUUAAACCAAAUAAGUGUUAAAGGGAUUUCCCAGUUCCAGUCAUUAUUUUUAGUUCUACAGUAUCUUGGUGACAAUUACAAGAUUGUAAUACCGUAUUUCCUGAAAUAAAUCCAGGUCGAUCGUUACCAAAAUUUUGAGCCGGCACAGUGAUCAACGAAUCCAACAUACGUCAAUGGUAGAACAAUCCAUCUGACAAUAUAACCUUACCAAUGUAUCGAAUGAAUUUGGAAGGAUGCUUAACGGUGAUGAGAACAACUUUAAAUCUUGUCCGAACUAAUAAAAGUAAUUGUUUGAA